RNAcentral lists this ribosomal RNA (506 nucleotides) under uncultured bacterium. Its description in RNAcentral is "bacterial SSU rRNA". It matches the Rfam family "Bacterial small subunit ribosomal RNA", at positions 29 to 507 of the family's 1533-position model. The record is from RNAcentral.
AUGAACGCUAGCGACAGGCCUAACACAUGCAAGUCGAGGGGCAUCGGGGUGUAGCAAUACGCUGCCGGCGACCGGCGGAUGGGUGAGUAACGCGUAUGCAACCUACCUUCAGCAGGGGGAUAGCCCGUUGAAAGACGGAUUAAUACCCCGUAACACAGGGGCUCCGCAUGGAGAUUAUUGUUAAAGGGAUGCUUCCUUCGGGGAGUAUUCUGGCUGAAGAUGGGCAUGCGUUCCAUUAGGUAGUUGGUUGAGGUAACGGCUCACCAAGCCUGCGAUGGAUAGGGGAACUGAGAGGUUGGUCCCCCACACUGGUACUGAGACACGGACCAGACUCCUACGGGAGGCAGCAGUGAGGAAUCUUGGUCAAUGGACGGAAGUCUGAACCAGCCAUGUCGCGUGAAGGAGGACGGCCCUAAGGGUUGUAAACUUCUUUUGCAGGGGAAUAAAGUAUUCCACGAGAUGGGAUAUUGCAAGUACGCUGCGAAUAAGGAUCGGCUAACUCCGUG